UGGGUGUAUUUGUUCCAUGGAGAUUAAGUUCAGCUACUGCCUGACUCCCUGUCUUCUUCAGACUACACCUAGUUCUUCUGUUUAUCCUUGAGACUUCUGAAAUAAUCUCUUCCUUCCCAGCUGCUUAAAGCUCGGCUGCCAUCAUGAAUGACACAGUAACAAUAUGGACCAGGAAGUUCAUGACCAAACAACUACUUCAGCAGAAACAAGUGGUCAGUGAUGUUCUUCACCCUAGAAAGGCAGCCAUACCUAAGACAACAUUUUGGGGAAAACUAGCCAAAAUUUAAGACCACACCAGAGGUCAUCUUUGUAUUUGGAUUCAGAACCCAUUUUGGUGGUGGCAAGACAACUGGCUUUGGCAUGAUUUAUGAUUUCUUAGAUUAUGCAAAGAAAAAUGAACCCA
Molecule: long non-coding RNA, 403 nt
Organism: Felis catus (domestic cat)
Lineage: Eukaryota; Metazoa; Chordata; Mammalia; Carnivora; Felidae
Exons: 2
Source: RefSeq, a predicted model, not a curated record